This 622-nucleotide ribosomal RNA is filed under the name Ustilago austro-africana. RNAcentral's name for it is "LSU rRNA". It matches the Rfam family "Eukaryotic large subunit ribosomal RNA", at positions 53 to 655 of the family's 3401-position model. The record is from RNAcentral. Lineage: Eukaryota; Fungi; Basidiomycota; Ustilaginomycetes; Ustilaginales; Ustilaginaceae.
GAGGAAAAGAAACUAACAAGGAUUCCCCUAGUAACGGCGAGUGAAGAGGGAAGAGCCCAAGAUUGAAAGCUGGCGUCUUCGGCGUCCGCAUUGUAAUCUCAAGAAGUGUUUUCCGCUUCGGACCAAGCCUAAGUCCCCUGGAAAGGGGCAUCAUAGAGGGUGAUAAUCCCGUACAUGGCUUGGAGCGCCCGUAGCUUUGUGAUACACUUUCUAAGAGUCGAGUUGUUUGGGAAUGCAGCUCAAAAUGGGUGGUAAAUGCCAUCUAAGGCUAAAUAUUGGGGAGAGACCGAUAGCGAACAAGUACAGUGAUGGAAAGAUGAAAAGAACUUUGAAAAGAGAGUUAAACAGUACGUGAAAUUGCCAAAAGGGAAGGGUAGGAGGUCAGAGAUGCGGCCUAGGAUUCAGCCUUGCUUCUGCUUGGUGUUUUUUCUAGAUUGCAGGCCAACGUCGGUUUUGGGCGCUGGAGAAGGGUGAAAGGAAUGUGGCACCUCUCGGGGUGUGUUUAUAGCCUUUCACUGGAUACAGUGACCGAGACCGAGGACAGCAGCGUACUCGCAAGAGCGGGCCUUCGGGCACCUUUACGCUUAGGGCGUUGGCAUAAUGGCCCUCUACCACCCGUCUG